This 28-nucleotide non-coding RNA is filed under the name Mus musculus (house mouse). The record is from RNAcentral. Lineage: Eukaryota; Metazoa; Chordata; Mammalia; Rodentia; Muridae.
UGGAAAGGCCUGGAAGGUUGAGCCUGGA